UAUAAGUUUAUAGGCACAAAAGAGCCUAUUGAUUACAUUCUAUAACAUACAUUGGGUAUAUGAAGAAACAUAGACCUGAAAAUGUAAAGAGAGACAUGAAGUCAACUCCUCAAACCCAAAUGACUAGCAUUCAGAGAGAUAUCCAGGUCUACAAAAGGUGCACAGGUGGAGAUAUAAAGAUGACAAGUGUGCACAUGUCCCCUAGAGAACCAGCAGCAACUCAUCAGGUUUAUUUCAAUAAUGAUCCUUCCGCAGGUUCACCUACGGAAA
RNAcentral lists this unclassified non-coding RNA (270 nucleotides) under uncultured fungus. RNAcentral's name for it is "sequence contains ITS1". Lineage: Eukaryota; Fungi. The record is from RNAcentral.